This 253-nucleotide ribosomal RNA is filed under the name Ligilactobacillus ruminis. RNAcentral's name for it is "partial 16S ribosomal RNA". It matches the Rfam family "Bacterial small subunit ribosomal RNA", at positions 524 to 776 of the family's 1533-position model. The record is from RNAcentral. Lineage: Bacteria; Bacillati; Bacillota; Bacilli; Lactobacillales; Lactobacillaceae.
UACGUAGGUGGCGAGCGUUGUCCGGAUUUAUUGGGCGUAAAGGGAACGCAGGCGGUCUUUUAAGUCUGAUGUGAAAGCCUUCGGCUUAACCGAAGUAGUGCAUUGGAAACUGGAAGACUUGAGUGCAGAAGAGGAGAGUGGAACUCCAUGUGUAGCGGUGAAAUGCGUAGAUAUAUGGAAGAACACCAGUGGCGAAAGCGGCUCUCUGGUCUGUAACUGACGCUGAGGUUCGAAAGCGUGGGUAGCAAACAGG